CUUAAAACCACAACGCCAACUCAGUCGCCACUCUCAGCUGCCGUGACUUUCGCCGCUCAUCACUGUCGCAACCUCGCCUUUUCAAGCGGAAAUCCACCACGCAAACCUCGCUGAAACUGACUGCCGCUCCAUACAUUACGACGGAAUAUGAUAUAAGUGGUUAUUUUCGGAAAGAGUGUUUUACUGCUUCUGAGUUGCUGCGUUUCUGGUUCCUUGCACAACCCUUACCUUAAUCUGAAGAGAUGGCAGAAACAAGUAAAGAUCUUUUGCAGUUAGAGGACAACAAUUCCACUUCCUCAUCCAUAGAAUCUGCACUUCUUGUUUGCAACAAGUAGUCCCAUUCUUAGUUGAAGAAACCAAACCCAGAUGAAAAACCUGUGUUUAAUCCUCUUCUCCGAAGCCAAGUUCUAGGAAAAGUGAAGGAUUUCUUGGGAAUGAUGUCAGAAGCUAAUAAAAGGCUCCAGCUUGAUGCAAAGGAAAAAGCUCAAGAUUAUGAUAUUGAAGUACUCACUGGAAAUGAAUCUGAAGUUAUUGAGAUGGUAACUGAGGGUUUCUCACUUUCUGUCUCUCUUCAUACUUUGUUAUGGCUUACAACAUGUGGCAGCCAAGUUAUAGCAUGAUUUCGGGGUGCAUCUUAGUGACAGGAUCUAAUGCUAGGUGUAGCUGAUCUUCAUACACCAGAAACUGUAAUGGCUGCUGAAUCAGCUAUUGCCGGUAACCAGCCAAUGAUUCCUUUUGCUGCCAGCAGAAGUGGAACAGACUCUGAAGGUAGCAGUGAAGAUAGUGGCGACGACGAUGACGACUAAGACGAAGAUGAUGACCACAACGAUGAUGACGAUGAAGAUGAUGAAUAUAGUGAC
Pistacia vera is the source of this 860-nucleotide long non-coding RNA. RefSeq lists it as uncharacterized. The record is from RefSeq and is a predicted model, not a curated record. The transcript has 5 exons. NCBI's taxonomy places the organism in Eukaryota, Viridiplantae, Streptophyta, Magnoliopsida, Sapindales, Anacardiaceae.